RNAcentral lists this ribosomal RNA (486 nucleotides) under uncultured bacterium. RNAcentral's name for it is "partial 16S ribosomal RNA". It matches the Rfam family "Bacterial small subunit ribosomal RNA", at positions 30 to 507 of the family's 1533-position model. The record is from RNAcentral.
AUUGAACGCUGGCGGCAUGCCUUACACAUGCAAGUCGAACGGCAGCGCAGACUUCGGUCUGGCGGCGAGUGGCGAACGGGUGAGUAAUACAUCGGAACGUACCCUGUUGUGGGGGAUAACUAGUCGAAAGAUUAGCUAAUACCGCAUACGACCUGAGGGUGAAAGUGGGGGACCGGAAACGGCCUCAUGCAGCAGGAGCGGCCGAUGUCUGAUUAGCUAGUUGGUGGGGUAAAGGCCCACCAAGGCGACGAUCAGUAGCUGGUCUGAGAGGACGAUCAGCCACACUGGGACUGAGACACGGCCCAGACUCCUACGGGAGGCAGCAGUGGGGAAUUUUGGACAAUGGGGGCAACCCUGAUCCAGCAAUGCCGCGUGUGUGAAGAAGGCCUUCGGGUUGUAAAGCACUUUUGUCCGGAAAGAAAUCGCGCUGGUUAAUACCUGGCGUGGAUGACGGUACCGGAAGAAUAAGCACCGGCUAACUACGUG